This 425-nucleotide ribosomal RNA is filed under the name uncultured bacterium. Its description in RNAcentral is "partial 16S ribosomal RNA". It matches the Rfam family "Bacterial small subunit ribosomal RNA", at positions 354 to 796 of the family's 1533-position model. The record is from RNAcentral.
GUGGGGAAUCUUGCGCAAUGGGCGAAAGCCUGACGCAGCCAUGCCGCGUGGAUGAUGAAGGUCUUAGGAUUGUAAAAUCCUUUCACCGGUGAAGAUAAUGACUGUAGCCGGAGAAGAAGCCCCGGCUAACUUCGUGCCAGCAGCCGCGGUAAUACGAAGGGGGCUAGCGUUGCUCGGAUUUACUGGGCGUAAAGGGCGCGUAGGCGGACAUUUAAGUCAGGGGUGAAAUCACGGGGCUCCACCUCGGAACUGCCUUUGAUACUGGGUGUCUUGAGUACGGGAGAGGUAAGUGGAAGUCCGAGUGUAGGGGUGAAAUUCGUAGAUAAUCGGAAGAACACCAGUGGCGAAGGCGACUCACUGGCCCGUUACUGACGCUGAGGCGCGAAAGCGUGGGGAGCAAACAGGAUUAGAAACCCCUGUAGUCC